GGGGAAUAUUGCGCAAUGGGGGAAACCCUGACGCAGCAACGCCGCGUGGGUGAAGAAGGCCUUCGGGUUGUAAAGCUCUGUCUUCUGGGACGAUAAUGACGGUACCAGAGGAGGAAGCCACGGCUAACUACGUGCCAGCAGCCGCGGUAAUACGUAGGUGGCAAGCGUUGUCCGGAUUUACUGGGCGUAAAGGGAGCGUAGGCGGAUAUUUAAGUCAGAUGUGAAAUACCCGAGCUUAACUUGGGUGCUGCAUUUGAAACUGGAUAUCUGGAGUGCAGGAGAGGAAAGUGGAAUUCCUAGUGUAGCGGUGAAAUGCGUAGAGAUUAGGAAGAACACCAGUGGCGAAGGCGACUUUCUGGACUGUAACUGACGCUGAGGCUCGAAAGCGUGGGGAGCAAAC
Molecule: ribosomal RNA, 400 nt
Filed under: uncultured bacterium
Lineage: Bacteria
Description: bacterial SSU rRNA
Rfam family: Bacterial small subunit ribosomal RNA
Source: RNAcentral